Molecule: transfer RNA, 88 nt
Filed under: Anaerolineaceae bacterium
Lineage: Bacteria; Bacillati; Chloroflexota; Anaerolineae; Anaerolineales; Anaerolineaceae
Also listed under: 1 other name
Description: tRNA-Ser
Rfam family: tRNA
About the family: Transfer RNA (tRNA) molecules are approximately 80 nucleotides in length. Their secondary structure includes four short double-helical elements and three loops (D, anti-codon, and T loops).
Source: RNAcentral
GGAAGGGUGGCCGAGUGGUUUAAGGCGCCUGUCUUGAAAACAGGUUUGGUGAAAGCCAACGUGGGUUCGAAUCCCUCCCCUUCCGCCA